GGAGAGAUGGCCGAGUCGGCUGAAGGCGCUCGCCUGCUAAGCGAGUGUGCGGUUUAAAGCUGCACCGAGGGUUCGAAUCCCUCUCUCUCCGCCA
Molecule: transfer RNA, 94 nt
Filed under: Desulfococcus multivorans
Lineage: Bacteria; Pseudomonadati; Thermodesulfobacteriota; Desulfobacteria; Desulfobacterales; Desulfococcaceae
Also listed under: 1 other name
Description: tRNA-Ser
Rfam family: tRNA
About the family: Transfer RNA (tRNA) molecules are approximately 80 nucleotides in length. Their secondary structure includes four short double-helical elements and three loops (D, anti-codon, and T loops).
Source: RNAcentral